This 253-nucleotide ribosomal RNA is filed under the name uncultured bacterium. Its description in RNAcentral is "partial 16S ribosomal RNA". It matches the Rfam family "Bacterial small subunit ribosomal RNA", at positions 524 to 776 of the family's 1533-position model. The record is from RNAcentral.
GACGUAGGGCGCGAGCGUUGUCCGGAUUUACUGGGCGUAAAGAGCGUGUAGGCGGCCACGCAGGUCCGUUGUGAAAACUGAAGGCUCAACCUCCAGACGUCGACGGAAACCGUAUGGCUAGAGUCCGGAAGAGGAGAGUGGAAUUCCUGGUGUAGCGGUGAAAUGCGCAGAUAUCAGGAAGAACACCAAUGGCGAAGGCAGCUCUCUGGGACGGUACUGACGCUGAGACGCGAAAGCGUGGGGAGCGAACAGG